RNAcentral lists this ribosomal RNA (863 nucleotides) under Diorygma sp. Lumbsch 20513a. RNAcentral describes it as "eukaryotic LSU rRNA". It matches the Rfam family "Eukaryotic large subunit ribosomal RNA", at positions 156 to 1042 of the family's 3401-position model. Lineage: Eukaryota; Fungi; Ascomycota; Lecanoromycetes; Ostropales; Graphidaceae. The record is from RNAcentral.
AAGGUGCUUCGGGGGCGACCACGGCCCAAGUCCCAUGGAACUGGGCGUCAUAGAGGGUGAGAAUCCCGUACGCGGCCAGCGGUCAAUCCCAUGUGAAGCCCUUUCGACGAGUCGAGUUGUUUGGGAAUGCAGCUCUAAAUGGGUGGUAAACUUCAUCUAAAGCUAAAUAUCGGCCGGAGACCGAUAGCGCACAAGUAGAGUGAUCGAAAGAUGAAAAGAACUUUGAAAAGAGAGUUAAACAGUACGUGAAAUUGUUGAAAGGGAAGCGCUUGCAACCAGACUCGCGCACGGGGUUCAGCCGCUCUUCGGGGCGGUGUACUCUCCGUUCGUGGGCCAGCAUCAGUUCGAGCGGCCGGACAAAGGCUCGGGGAACGUAGCUCUCUUCGGGGAGUGUUACAGCCCCGGGUGCAAUGCGGCCAGCUCGGACUGAGGACCGCGCUCUGCUAGGAUGCUGGCGUAAUGGUUGCCAGCGACCCGUCUUGAAACACGGACCAAGGAGUCGACCAGUUGGGCGAGUAUUUGGGUGCAAAACCCAAGUGCGUAAUGAAAGUGAACGAGGUGAGAGCCUUCGGGUGCAUCAUCGACCGAUCUUGAUGUCUUCGGACGGAUUUGAGUACGAGCCUAAAUGGUCGAACCCGAAAGACGGUGAKCUAUGCKUGAAUAGGGUGAAGCCAGAGGAAACUCUGGUGGAGGCUCGCAKCGGUUCUGACGUGCAAAUCGAUCGUCAAAUUUGCGCAUAGGGGCGAAAGACCAAUCGAACCGUCUAGUAGCUGGUUCCUGUCGAAGUUUCCCUCAGGAUAGCAGCAACGGAGAACCUAGUCUCAUGAGGUAGAGCGAACGAUUAGAGGCCUGGGGGAUGAAAC